This 34-nucleotide ribosomal RNA is filed under the name Tomentella sublilacina. Its description in RNAcentral is "partial 25S ribosomal RNA". Lineage: Eukaryota; Fungi; Basidiomycota; Agaricomycetes; Thelephorales; Thelephoraceae. The record is from RNAcentral.
CGAUCUCAAAUCAGGUAUGACUACCCGCUGAACU